Molecule: ribosomal RNA, 254 nt
Filed under: uncultured bacterium
Lineage: Bacteria
Description: partial 16S ribosomal RNA
Rfam family: Bacterial small subunit ribosomal RNA
Source: RNAcentral
UACGGAGGGUGCAAGCGUUGUUCGGAAUUAUUGGGCGUAAAGGGCAGGUAGGUGGUCUUGAAAGUCUACUGUGAAAUCCCCGGGCUUAACCUGGGAAGUGCGGUGGAUACUCCAAGACUAGAGUGCUGGAGGGGUGCGUGGAAUUCCCGGUGUAGCGGUGGAAUGCGCAGAUAUCAGGAGGAACACCGAUGGGCGAAGGCAGAUCUCUGGGCCGUAACUGACGCUGAGGAGCGAAAGCGUGGGGAGCGAACAGG